CAAUAGCGUAUAUUAAAGUUGUUGCAGUUAGAACGCUCGUAGUCGGAUUUCGGGGCGGGUCGACCGGUCUGCCGAUGGGUACGCACUGGCCGACGCGUCCUUUUUGCCGGAGACCGUCCCUACUCUUAACUGAGCGGGGUCGGGAGACGGCACUUUUACUUUGAAAAAAUCAGAGUGUUUCAAGCAGGCAGCUCGCUCUUGCAUGGAUUAGCAUGGGAUAAUGAAAUAGGACUUUGGUGCUAUUUUGUUGGUUUAGAACACCGAAGUAAUGAUGAGAAGGGACAGUCAGGGGCACUCGUAUUCCGCCGAGAGAGGUGAAAUUCUCAGACCAGCGGAAGACGAACCACUGCGAAAGCAUUUGCCAGGGAUGUUUUCACUGA
Molecule: ribosomal RNA, 380 nt
Filed under: uncultured eukaryote
Lineage: Eukaryota
Description: partial 18S ribosomal RNA
Rfam family: Eukaryotic small subunit ribosomal RNA
Source: RNAcentral